Molecule: ribosomal RNA, 253 nt
Filed under: uncultured bacterium
Lineage: Bacteria
Description: partial 16S ribosomal RNA
Rfam family: Bacterial small subunit ribosomal RNA
Source: RNAcentral
UACGAAGGGGGCUAGCGUUGCUCGGAAUGACUGGGCGUAAAGGGCGCGUAGGCGGUGGACGCAGUCAGGCGUGAAAUUCCCGGGCUCAACCUGGGGGCUGCGCUUGAUACACGUCCGCUCGAGUCCGGAAGAGGGUCGUGGAAUUCCCAGUGUAGAGGUGAAAUUCGUAGAUAUUGGGAAGAACACCGGUGGCGAAGGCGGCGACCUGGUCCGGCACUGACGCUGAGGCGCGAAAGCGUGGGGAGCAAACAGG